UCCAGACUCCUACGGGAGGCAGCAGUGGGGAAUAUUGCACAAUGGGGGAAACCCUGAUGCAGCGACGCCGCGUGAGUGAAGAAGUAUUUCGGUAUGUAAAGCUCUCUCAGCAGGGAAGAAGAAAGACGGUACCUGACUAAGAAGCCCCGGCUAACUACGUGCCAGCAGCCGCGGUAAUACGUAGGGGGCAAGCGUUAUCCGGAUUUACUGGGUGUAAAGGGAGCGUAGACGGCGAUGCAAGCCAGAUGUGAAAGCCCGGGGCUCAACCCCGGGACUGCAUUUGGAACUGUGUGGCUGGAGUGUCGGAGAGGCAGGCGGAAUUCCUAGUGUAGCGGUGAAAUGCGUAGAUAUUAGGAGGAACACCAGUGGCGAAGGCGGCCUGCUGGACGAUGACUGACGUUGAGGCUCGAAAGCGUGGGGAGCAAACAGGAUUAGAUACCCGCGCAG
Molecule: ribosomal RNA, 447 nt
Filed under: uncultured bacterium
Lineage: Bacteria
Description: bacterial SSU rRNA
Rfam family: Bacterial small subunit ribosomal RNA
Source: RNAcentral